ACAUGCAAGUGAAUACUUCUCACUCAGGAAAAGUUUUGCCAGCCGGGCAUCCCCCUUAAGUAUCCAUCGGCUGCAUUUCAAGGACCUCCAGGACUUACUGGCUACCCUGGACCCCAGCCUGGCUAUCCAGUUCUGCCAGCCAGCUAUUCAGGUGCUGGACCAGCUGGCUUUUUUGUCCAAAGUCAGCCAGUAUAUAAUCAGCCUGGUGGACCUGCAGGGGCACCAUGGAUGCCAGCACCACCACCUCCACUGAACUGUCUACCUGGAUUAGAAUAUUUAAGUCAGGAAUACAGUUCUCAUAGAGGCAGAAACUCACAAGCAUGGGUAUGGAUCUCUGAAUCUAGUAAGAAGAAGUGCAUUUUGAGGAGAUAGCCCCAUUCUGGGUUCUGCUGGUGAAGGACGGGGCAGGGUCUCCACUACAAUGCCAUACUGAAGAGAUGAAAUACGAAUCGUCCCCUGGUCACAGCUGCUCUCCAAGCCCUGGGCUCCCAGGCAGCAGUAGCCGGUGGUGCCGUCCAGAGUCCUCACUGUUCCUCCCAAAUGUGGGCUCCAGACAGUCGUCACAGAAGAUGCACAUCAUAGUGACUCGAUGUCACUAUGGCAGUUAUUUGAGAACUUCCCAUUCCAAUGACAUCAGCAGCACCAAGAAUGAGAAAGUGAAGGAAGUGUUUUCCUGGCAGAGCUCAUCUCCGGUGAAAAGAUCAAAACCUCGGAGGGUACCGACUCUUUUAAAGGGAACUCGAGACUCCAGAUGGAGGAGCCGCCUGGAUGAGAUGAGUCGGCCAAUGUUCUCCAUGUCUCCUCUGCAGCCUGGAGCCCAGCUGCCCCACAAAGCAUCACCGAGAUGGCUUCACUGUCUUAGGGCCCAGGAUGGAGCCAGAGAUAGGAAAUGGGAAACGAUCUCUCCUGGGCUGGUCUGUCUGCCUGUGCCUUCCUGCCAGUGGGGCCUGUCUGGGAUCCAGGGUUCCCUGCCAUGGGAC
Molecule: long non-coding RNA, 980 nt
Organism: Cynocephalus volans (Philippine flying lemur)
Lineage: Eukaryota; Metazoa; Chordata; Mammalia; Dermoptera; Cynocephalidae
Exons: 4
Source: RefSeq, a predicted model, not a curated record